RNAcentral lists this non-coding RNA (45 nucleotides) under Schistosoma margrebowiei. The record is from RNAcentral. Lineage: Eukaryota; Metazoa; Platyhelminthes; Trematoda; Strigeidida; Schistosomatidae.
AUCCAGCUGACGAGUCCCAAACGGGACGAAACGUGCAUCCUGGAU